CCUACGGGAGGCUGCAGUAGGGAAUCUUUCACAAUGGGCGAAAGCCUGAUGGAGCAACGCCGCGUGCAGGAUGAAGGCCUUCGGGUUGUAAACUUCUUUUAUAAGCGAGAAAUAUGAUGGUAACUUAUGAAUAAGGAUCGGCUAACUACGUGCCAGCAGCCGCGGUCAUACGUAGGAUCCGAGCAUUAUCCGGAGUGACUGGGUGUAAAGAGUUGCGUAGGUGGCAUAAUAAGUAGCUAGUGAAAUCUGGUGGCUCAACCAUUCAGACUAUUAGCUAAACUGUUAAGCUCGAGACCGUUAGGGGUAAGUGGAAUUUCUGGUGUAGGAGUGAAAUCCGUAGAUAUUAGAAGGAACACCAAUAGCGUAGGCAGGUUGCUGGGACGGUUCUGACACUAAGGCACGAAAGCGUAGGGAGCAAACGGGAUUAGAUACCCUUGUAGUC
RNAcentral lists this ribosomal RNA (442 nucleotides) under uncultured bacterium. Its description in RNAcentral is "partial 16S ribosomal RNA". It matches the Rfam family "Bacterial small subunit ribosomal RNA", at positions 338 to 795 of the family's 1533-position model. The record is from RNAcentral.